GUUUCAUGAUCGUGGGAGCUGCGUAAGCAGCGGUUGUCCGUCUGUUGCGUCUGAAUCUGAUGCAAGGCCUGAGGUCAGCAGGGCUAGCACUUGUUAAGGAAAGAUGGACACGGUUUGAGAGAAAGUAAAGACAAAAUAGAACCCAUGAGAAUAAACUGAAACCUACAUCUGUCUUUAGAACACACAUUGGUCUCUAGUCACCUCCAGGGCUUCAACUUGGAUGAUGCAAGUGACCUGCAGAAAAGCGUGCGCAAUCCGUCAUGGAACCAAAUAGGAACUGAGCUCAGGACUUUACGAAACUGAAGGAAGACGUCCGCAGGAGCUACAGGAGCUGCGGGUCCAGCAGCUGACCCUCGCCAGCAAUGUGGGCCAGCAUAUCAGCAACUGCAUAUAUAAGCUGCAAAAUUAUCCCCCCCACGUUGACCUGUGUAAGAGCAUAUGCUUACUGCGUGAGUUCCACAAGGUGUUUUGUAACUCAGAAAAUCUCAGUCAGGAACUACUAAUCAAAUGCCAGGUUUUGUUGCUGCUGUUACACAUAUUUAAAUACUCGCAACUCCCUUGCAUCUUUAAACAAUCAGUCCUCUUUCUACCCCUAACCUCCCCUCUGGUUACUAGCUUAUCUUGCUUCUCUCCUUACAGCCAAAUUUCUAGAAGUCUUUUUCUGACACCAUUCCCUUUCUCCCAUUCUUUCUCAAUCCACUGCAGUUUAUAUCCAACUCCUCAACAGAUCACCAGAACUUCACUCACAAAAGUCACCAGAGAGUUCCACGUGGACAAAGAUAAUGGACAUCUUCCUGUAUAAUCUUACAUCAACUUUCAGUGGCCUUUCACUACUGCCAACCCACAUGCUCCUUUAUCAUCAGGGGCCUUUGAUAGGCUGACCAUGUCCUUCUGGAAACUUGCCUGCUUGGCCUUUGUCGAACCACAUGUCUGACCAUCACUUCUCAGGCUGCACAGCUGACUCAUCUGCCUGGCUUUCCACGCUUAAGUCCAGCAUUUUUGAAGCAUUUGUGCUACAUGUGGUGCAAUUACCAAAUGGUUGAAAGGAUUCAUUGAGUUGACUCAUCACCUUUCCAGUGGUUGCAGUAUGAUGUUGCUGAGAAAUCCUUGCUUGUGACUGCAUACAUCCUCACACCGAGUCAGAUGGGAAGAACCAACAAUUUAUGCUGUGCAGAAAAGACCUCUAGAGAAAAGUGAUCAACAGGAAAUAACACAAUAAUUUGCCUUUGAAUUCUCAAAGUAAAAUCUAUUUAUCUUCUCCAUGUGGAACGGCCUACUCUCAGCAUCUUUGCAUUCAGCUGUGUUGAGUUGGGGAGGAGAAAACUAGCAGGAAAAUUUGUGAGCAUAUCCUUUUUCAUUAAAAUGACACAUCUUAGGAAAAUGUUCCCAAGUUCUGUGCAAUUAAUUGGACUUCCUAGGAUUUUGAGUAGGAAAUUUUGACUCCUAUAUAUUAACUUUAAGAAGUUAUGUUUUCUGCAAU
This 1480-nucleotide long non-coding RNA is filed under the name Equus asinus (donkey). Its description in RNAcentral is "lncRNA (ENSEASG00005026778.1)". Lineage: Eukaryota; Metazoa; Chordata; Mammalia; Perissodactyla; Equidae. The record is from RNAcentral.